RNAcentral lists this transfer RNA (65 nucleotides) under Dipodomys ordii (Ord's kangaroo rat). It matches the Rfam family "tRNA". From Rfam's summary of the family: Transfer RNA (tRNA) molecules are approximately 80 nucleotides in length. Their secondary structure includes four short double-helical elements and three loops (D, anti-codon, and T loops). Lineage: Eukaryota; Metazoa; Chordata; Mammalia; Rodentia; Heteromyidae. The record is from Rfam by way of RNAcentral.
GGUGGCUCAGAGGCAGAGUGCUUGCCUUGCAUGCAUGAGGUCCUGGGUUCGAAUCCUCAGCACCA